GUGAAGUAACAAGAAAAGACUGAGGAGAGAGGGAGACACAAAACUUUUAUUUGACCUUUUAAAUACUUAAGCUACUCUCUGAAAGUUGUGCUGAAGCUUGAGCUUGUGAGCAGCUGCUGCUCCACUUUUCUCUGGGCUGGGGUGACAAUGUGAGAGCUCUGAAGUUGCUCUGAGCUGCAGUGUUGAUCCAGCCUCUGCACGUGGAUUCACUGGGCUCCCCUGGCUCCUAGCACAGAAUUCAGUGAAGCUUUGAAGGGGUCAGAAAGAAGAAUGUGUUUCCCUGAUGGGAAGAGGAGCUACCACUGUGGAAGAGAAAGGCAAGGAAAGAUUUAGGGGACAGGUGGUGAAAAAAAAGGAUUAAUGAAAAGGUGCGCUCACAUGGGGAGACAGUGGAGGGUUUAAAAACAGGGACAUGAAAAGAGAGGGAGCAGCCAAGUGGAGGGGAGGAGAUAUUGAAGAGAGUGGCAAGCAGAUGCCAGCUCUGGUUCCAGGAGCUGGUUUGCUCUCAGCUGAACCUUUCCCAGAGUGCUUGCUGUUGAGCUGGAGUGAGCAGGGCUUCUGUCUCCCACUCUAACCAGUAUCCAUCAUGUGUACCUUCAGUGCAGUUAAAGAAACCAGCUGGCUGGCAAAUGUAAUUUCCUUGCCAUGGGAAACGAUCUGAAAUUGCAAAAUGUUAUCCCACUGUCACAUUGUUCUGCAAAGAAACACAUGGCAUACAAGAAAUUCAUUUCUUCAAAUCCAUAUUUUAUUGAAAUAUAGCCACGGAUGGCAGAUAAAAUCUCUGACUUGCACUUCCUGGCUGUUGGCUGUAUUUUUUAAAAGAGAGAAGUAGAAGGACAAGCAUCACCUAUGUUACAAAUGAGCUGAUGUGCUUCUUACUUUGUGUGUAAGUAUGCCCACACAGGGAGAGAGAAACUCUCCCACCCAUGGAUAUAAAGGUGGGAGAAGCUCAGAUUCCCAUUUUACAUGUAGAGAAGAACAUAAUAGAAAUAUGAAUUGCAAACCCAGUUAGUUUUGUAGCACGAGCAGGAAUUAAACACUGAUAUUAUAUUGAUCAAGUUUUAAUUUCUCUCCUGAUGAAACGGUGCUUGCGGAGAGUGAAAUGUUUCUACAGAAUUGUUCUGUUUGCUGAAAAUAUCCUGAGGCCUUGGGCAGUGGAGGAGGCACCGGGGAAGCUCUGAAUCAGGAAGGAAAGCAGGAUCUCAGGUCCGAAUAUGAAGUGGCUCUGGCUGAUGAACUAUUCCCUUUCAUCACAGAUUGACUCCCAGUAAUAAUUCACCACUGACACCUAUUUUUUGAGAUCUCAAUUCAAGUUGUGUUUUUGGAGUUCUUCAACUUGAAGGGUUGUGGUUAAGAGGUGAGCCAGGCAUGGUUGGUGCCCAAGAGCCCCAGAGACCUCUCCUGCUGCUGCACGGAUGGCUGGGCAAAGCUCCUCAUGGAACAGCUUUCCUGCCACACAAGAACCUGGAAAAUCACAGUGAGGGCAUGAGAGGCAAUCUAGAACCUGCCCUUGGAGUGGGUGGCUUUGUGAAUGACCGAGUGGAGUUAGGAGCUGACUGAAGAUUUUACACUGCAGAGCUGAAGGCAUCUGCUCACUAAGAAACGUGUGAAGGAAACCCUUGCUUGUGUCAAGCUGUGGUGCAAGAGAGCUGCUCUAAAACCAGUAAAAAGUCACAAACAAGCCCCAAGGGAAGCCUUUCCAUGGUUGAGCCAGGCUGGGGAAUGGGCAGCUGGAGCAGCCCUGGGAGAAGGAGCUGAGGGUGCUGCAGGGUGAGAGGUGCCCUGGUUGUGCCCUGCUGGGCUGAGCCUGGGGGUUCUGCCCCUCUGCCCUCAGGUGAGAUCUCACCUGCAGGACUGGGCCAGCACAGGAGGAGCUGGAGCUGCUGCAGGAGCCCAGAGCAGGCACCAAGAGCAAUACCUACCAAAUUCAAAAAAGCAAGGAGUGAAAGAGAAUUAGGAAAAUAUUCAACCCAAACAAAACCAGCAGUCAUGUAGCAAGAGAUACUGAGGAAAUAUAAGCAGAGAAGUGUAAGCAAGAAGCAUUAAACAUAUGAACUUCUUUAUUGCUCGCUCUGUGCUUUAUCCUCACUGCAACAUGACAGGUAUGUGCAAUUUUCUUCUUUUCUUUGGGAGAAGCUUAUCAGGAGAAUGCUGUCCAGCAGCCAGGCUUUUACAGCACUGUUCUGUUCAUUGCUGCAUCAGAGAGGGCCCAGCAGGCAGCCUGUGGAGACCACAGUUAUCUGUCAGCUGGAUUUUCAGAAACAGUGCUUCUGCUGCCUUCAAGCCUGUUGAACCUGUCCAAGGAGAGCAAAAAUGUGUGAAACAGUAAUACAGAAUUAAU
Serinus canaria (Common canary) is the source of this 2341-nucleotide long non-coding RNA. RefSeq lists it as uncharacterized. The transcript has 5 exons. NCBI's taxonomy places the organism in Eukaryota, Metazoa, Chordata, Aves, Passeriformes, Fringillidae. The record is from RefSeq and is a predicted model, not a curated record.